Molecule: ribosomal RNA, 499 nt
Filed under: uncultured bacterium
Lineage: Bacteria
Description: partial 16S ribosomal RNA
Rfam family: Bacterial small subunit ribosomal RNA
Source: RNAcentral
AUUGAACGCUGGCGGCAGGCCUAACACAUGCAAGUCGAGCGGAUGAGAGGAGCUUGCUCCUCGAUUCAGCGGCGGACGGGUGAGUAAUGCCUAGGAAUCUGCCUAGUAGUGGGGGACAACGUUUCGAAAGGAACGCUAAUACCGCAUACGUCCUACGGGAGAAAGUGGGGAUCUUCGGACCUCACGCUAUUAGAUGAGCCUAGGUCGGAUUAGCUAGUUGGUAGGGUAACGGCCUACCAAGGCGACGAUCCGUAACUGGUCUGAGAGGAUGAGCAGUCACACUGGAACAGAGACACGGUCCAGACUCCUACGGGGGGCAGCAGUGGGGAAUAUUGGACAAGGGGCGAAAGCCUGAUCCAGCCAUGCCGCGUGUGUGAAGAAGGCCCUCGGGUCGUAAAGUACUUUAAGUUGGGAGGAAGGGCUUACAGCGAAUACCUGUGAGUUUUGACGUUACCGACAGAAUAAGCACCGGCUAACUUCGUGCCAGCAGCCGCCGUAA